UUGAUCCUACGGGGCGCAGCAGUGGGGGAUAUUGCACAAUGGGGGAAACCCUGAUGCAGCGACGCCGCGUGGGCGAAGAAGUAUUUCGGUAUGUAAAGCCCUAUCAGCAGGGAAGAAGAAAUGACGGUACCUGAGUAAGAAGCACCGGCUAAAUACGUGCCAGCAGCCGCGGUAAUACGUAUGGUGCAAGCGUUAUCCGGAUUGACUGGGUGUAAAGGGGGCGCAGACGGCGAUGCAAGCCAGGAGUGAAAGCCCGGGGCCCAACCCCGGGACUGCUCUUGGAACUGCGUGGCUAGAGUGCAGGG
Molecule: ribosomal RNA, 305 nt
Filed under: uncultured bacterium
Lineage: Bacteria
Description: bacterial SSU rRNA
Rfam family: Bacterial small subunit ribosomal RNA
Source: RNAcentral